RNAcentral lists this ribosomal RNA (440 nucleotides) under uncultured bacterium. RNAcentral describes it as "partial 16S ribosomal RNA". It matches the Rfam family "Bacterial small subunit ribosomal RNA", at positions 338 to 795 of the family's 1533-position model. The record is from RNAcentral.
CCUCCGGGUGGCAGCAGUGGGGAAUAUUGCACAAUGGGCGAAAGCCUGAUGCAGCGACGCCGCGUGAGCGAAGAAGUAUUUCGGAAUGUAAACCUCUAUCAGCAGGGAAGAAAAUGACGGUACCUGACUAAGAAGCUCCGGCUAAAUACGUGCCAGCAGCCGCGGUAAUACGUAUGGAGCAAGCGUUAUCCGGAAUUACUGGGUGUAAAGGGAGCGUAGACGGAAGUGUAAGUCUGAUGUGAAAGGCGGAGGCUCAACCGCGGAACUGCAUUGGAAACUGUAAUUCUUGAGUGCCGGAGAGGAAAGCGGAAUUCCUAGUGUAGCGGUGAAAUGCGUAGAUAUUAGGAGGAACACCAGUGGCGAAGGCGGCUUACUGGACGGUAACUGACGUUGAGGCUCGAAAGUGUGGGGAGCAAACAGGAUUAGAUACCCCGGUAGUC